RNAcentral lists this ribosomal RNA (442 nucleotides) under uncultured bacterium. RNAcentral describes it as "partial 16S ribosomal RNA". It matches the Rfam family "Bacterial small subunit ribosomal RNA", at positions 338 to 795 of the family's 1533-position model. The record is from RNAcentral.
CCUACGGGAUGCAGCAGUGGGGAAUAUUGGGCAAUGGGCGCAAGCCUGACCCAGCAACGCCGCGUGAAGGAAGAAGGCCCUCGGGUUGUAAACUUCUUUUAACAGGGACGAAGAAAGUGACGGUACCUGUUGAAUAAGCAACGGCUAACUACGUGCCAGCAGCCGCGGUAAUACGUCGGUGGCAAGCGUUCUCCGGAUUUACUGGGUGUAAAGGGCGAGUAGGUGGGAGAGCAAGUCAGACGUGAAAUUCCAGGGCUCAACCCUGGAACUGCGUUUGAAACUGUUCUUCUUGAGUGAUGGAGAGGCAGGCGAAAUGCCGUGGGUAGCGGUGAAAGGCGUAGAUAUACGGAGGAACACCAGUGGCGAAGCGGCCUGCUGGACAUUAACUGACGCUGAGGCGCGAAAGCGUGGGGAGCAAACAGGAUUAGAUACCCCAGUAGUC